Molecule: ribosomal RNA, 214 nt
Filed under: Campeiostachys nutans
Lineage: Eukaryota; Viridiplantae; Streptophyta; Magnoliopsida; Poales; Poaceae
Description: Elymus nutans partial small subunit ribosomal RNA
Rfam family: Eukaryotic small subunit ribosomal RNA (bases 37-214)
Source: RNAcentral
GGAUCAAAUUGUUGGUCGUGCCUCGGUACGCACUGGUAUUAUUGGUUCCUACCUUCUGAAGAACCGCGAUGUCAUUAAUUUGGUGUCGUGGGGAAUCAGGACUGUUACUUUGAAAAAAUUAGAGUGUUUAAAGCAGGCUCACGCUUGAAUACAUUAGCAUGGAAUAACGGAAUAGGACGUUUGAUUCUAUUUUGUUGGUUUGAGAAACGAAGUA